UGUAAAAGUCCAAUAGCAAGAAAACAAAUGUCAGUCAAGCUUAGAUAAACAAGAGUAAAUUUUUUUUUCUGUUUAUACUUAGUCCUGUCAUUUCAUACAAUAGCUGCAAACGAACUAGAUUCUAGUCAUUUCAUGAUUAAUUCAUUAUUUCAAUAGUUUUUUUUUUUUUGGUGAUUUGGGGGAUUUACUAAAUUGAUCUAUGAUUGAACCUUUAUCUACUAAAGAAUCAUUUCCAUCAACCUCUAUGCUAUAGGAAUGAUAUCUAUGUUCACUGGGGAGGGUUGAUUACAUAUGUGAUGGGAACAUCCAAUGCUUAUUUGGAAUUAGUCCAUGUUGAAUUUCUUCUACUGUGGUAUAUAAUUCCCACUGGGCCUGAGCUCGCGUCAAUUCUUGAAGUUGAGUUACUGGUCACGCUAUAGCACCUUCUCAAUACAUCUUCAAACCUGAACUCCUCUUGCCAGAAGUUUAGAGCUCUUUUUGGUCUAACUGUUUUCUCUUAAACCUUUCAGAACUUCCUGAAAACAAUGGAAAACUUGGUUGACCUCUCUACACAACCCUGUGGUGCACAGGCCUGUGAGUCAUCUCAGAUCCUUUCUUCCCAUACACUCUGGUAGCCAUUGCUACUCUAUUGCUUUUGUGCCACACUGAAUGUCUCUACUAGGAUUAUAGCUUCCAAGCAGGUGACACUGGUAAGUGGUUGGAUUCUGACCUAUUUCAAGAAUCUUCCUGUUACCUGAUAGAGCACUCCAACAAAAUUCUAAUCGAUGCAAAAACAGAUACACAGUGUUUGUUAAGGUUCUUUUGAGCUCUGAUAUUUUCUGUUUUUUCACAUCUUUUCCCUCAUCUAUCUUUUUGUAAUUCCAAUGCUGUGUGAUAUAACUUUGUUCAUUUAAUUCAUUGUCAACUAAGUGUGAUUAAGUCUUAAUUGUUACAACUUUUCAACCUAGAGUAUUUGAACCAUAAAAC
RNAcentral lists this long non-coding RNA (966 nucleotides) under Homo sapiens (human). Its description in RNAcentral is "HSALNT0044472". The record is from RNAcentral. Lineage: Eukaryota; Metazoa; Chordata; Mammalia; Primates; Hominidae.